AUGAUUGCUCUGAUCAUUCUAUCCCCAUAAUUCGUUAUAAGAGAAAUGUCAAAUUUUUGAAAUGUGUUUUUGGUGAAAUGGACAUAAAGAAUUUUUCGUAGUGAAAGUGUGAAAAUAAGUUUUUAGGUGAUUAAAGAAAUGUAGGAUGCUUUAGGAAGUGGUCAGCUGUGAAACGAUUUGAAUUUCGCUAACAAAUCAUGAAUGAGCAACUUGUAUUCCACAAAUUUCGUGUGUUUGGAACUUAUCAGCAAAUGUUUGCCAUUUUGUUUUUCUGAAGAGUUUUUGAUGACACUGAUUUGAAACAGGCGAUCUUCGAGGCACCAUGCAACUAUAAGGAGAACACAAAAUGCAUGAAUGUUCAAGAAAAUAUCAAUAAAAUUUUUAUUGAUAAUUGCAACCCGAAA
Long non-coding RNA from Hermetia illucens (black soldier fly), 404 nucleotides. RefSeq lists it as uncharacterized. The record is from RefSeq and is a predicted model, not a curated record. The transcript has 3 exons. NCBI's taxonomy places the organism in Eukaryota, Metazoa, Arthropoda, Insecta, Diptera, Stratiomyidae.